AGUUUGAUCCUGGCUCAGGACGAACGCUGGCGGCGCGCCUAACACAUGCAAGUCGAACGGAGCUUAGAGAGCUUGCUUUUUAAGCUUAGUGGCGAACGGGUGAGUAACGCGUGAGUAACCUGCCCUAGAGUGGGGGCAACAAGUUGGAAAACCUUUUUUAAUACCCGCAUACGCCCCCGGGUCCCCCAGGGCAGGGGAGAAAAAGUUUUUUUCGGUUUAGGGCGGCCCCCCGCCCAAUUUAGUUGGUGGUGGAGGUACCGCCCCACACAAGGCCUAUUUUUUGUACCCGGAUUGAGAGGUUUAACCCGCCCACUUUGGGGAAUGAACCCCGGCCCCAGAUCUCUUAGGGGGAGCAGCAGUGGGGGAUUUUCCACAAUGGGGGGAAACCCUUGAAGGAAGGGACGCCGCGUGGGAGAAAGAAGUUUUUCGGAUUGUAAACUCCUGGUCGUUAGGGACGAUAAUGACGGUACCUAACAAGAAAGCACCGGCUAACUACGUGCCAGCAGCCGCGGUAAAACGUAGGGUGCAAGCGUUGUCCGGAAUUACUGGGUGUAAAGGGAGCGCAGGCGGGAAGACAAGUUGGAAGUGAAAACCAUGGGCUCAACCCAUGAAUUGCUUUCAAAACUGUUUUUCUUGAGUAGUGCAGAGGUAGAUGGAAUUCCCGGUGUAGCGGUGGAAUGCGUAGAUAUCGGGAGGAACACCAGUGGCGAAGGCGGUCUACUGGGCACCAACUGACGCUGAGGCUCGAAAGCAUGGGUAGCAAACAGGAUUAGAUACCCUGGUAGUCCAUGCCGUAAACGAUGAUUACUAGGUGUUGGGGGAUUGACCCCCUCAGUGCCGCAGUUAACACAAUAAGUAAUCCACCUGGGGAGUACGACCGCAAGGUUGAAACUCAAAGGAAUUGACGGGGGCCCGCACAAGCAGUGGAGUAUGUGGUUUAAUUCGAAGCAACGCGAAGAACCUUACCAGGUCUUGACAUCCGAUGCAUAACACAGAGAUGUGUGAAAUCCUUCGGGACAUCGAGACAGGUGGUGCAUGGUUGUCGUCAGCUCGUGUCGUGAGAUGUUGGGUUAAGUCCCGCAACGAGCGCAACCCUUAUUGCCAGUUACUACGUUAAGAGGACUCUGGCGAGACUGCCGUUGACAAAACGGAGGAAGGUGGGGAUGACGUCAAAUCAUCAUGCCCUUUAUGACCUGGGCUACACACGUACUACAAUGGCGUUAAACAAAGAGAAGCAAGACCGCGAGGUGGAGCAAAACUCAAAAACAACGUCUCAGUUCAGAUUGCAGGCUGCAACUCGCCUGCAUGAAGUCGGAAUUGCUAGUAAUCGCGGAUCAGCAUGCCGCGGUGAAUACGUUCCCGGGCCUUGCACACACCGCCCGUC
This 1384-nucleotide ribosomal RNA is filed under the name uncultured bacterium. RNAcentral's name for it is "bacterial SSU rRNA". It matches the Rfam family "Bacterial small subunit ribosomal RNA". The record is from RNAcentral.